UGGGUAGAAGCCAAAAUAGAGGCGCUUGUCUGUUAACCAAGCUACUGAGAGAUUUCACUCUCCUGCCCAG
Molecule: transfer RNA, 70 nt
Filed under: Nipponacmea sp. JM-2022
Lineage: Eukaryota; Metazoa; Mollusca; Gastropoda; Lottiidae
Description: tRNA-Asn
Source: RNAcentral